RNAcentral lists this long non-coding RNA (870 nucleotides) under Olea europaea subsp. europaea. Lineage: Eukaryota; Viridiplantae; Streptophyta; Magnoliopsida; Lamiales; Oleaceae. The record is from RNAcentral.
CAGAUAUGUAAGAGCUACAGUUUCAACAACUAUGACCUUUAAGAGUUAUAUACAUACAUACAUACAUACAUAUCAGUACAGAUAUUUAAGAGCUACAGUUUCAACAACUAUGACCUUUAGGAGUUACAUACAUACAUAUAUGUAUGUAUGUAUGUAUGUAUGUAUGUAUGUAUGUAUGUAUGUAUGUAUAUGCUCAUUCCGAUCAAUGAAAAGGUUACCAUGAGUUCAUCAAUUUCAAUACAUGUUAUGGUAUCAAGCAUCUUUAAGAGAUGGUCAAUCCUUUUUUUUCCAGUAGCCAGGUUCAUCAACUUAACUCCUACCACCAUUCGAAACACCAAUGACCCUCAAAAUACCCUCAUCACAUUAAUGUCACUGCGCAAAGUCCUUUCAAGCUCACCUUUAGCAACUACAUUUCCUUGAAGUUGUAAUUCAACACCUUAUUCAUUGGCCAUGAUCUCCUAGGCUAUAUUGAUGGAUCCAAACCACGUCCGUUAGCCACACUCACCCAAAGCAACACCACAAUACCCAAUCCUGAAUAUAUCAUCUGGAUUUGACAAGACCAAUUAGUCCUUAAUGCCAUCAUUGGCUUCCUCUCUCCAACAAUAAUUCCAUUUAUUGCUCUAGCCAAAACUUCUUGUCAAGCAUGGAACAUCUUAGGCAACACAUAUGCUAAGCCAACUCGUGGAUGCAUUAAACAAGUUAAAAGUUAAUAAAGAAAUUUAUAAAGGGGCCUGAAAAGUGUGACUGAAUUUUUGCAAGCAAUGAACUUGCACUUCUCGGAGGACCAUUUGAAGCAGAGGACCUUACAAAGAAUAUGUUGGAUAAACUUAGUGAUGACUACAAAGAACUUGAUUGUGCUGUCCAGGCCAG